RNAcentral lists this ribosomal RNA (933 nucleotides) under Triticum aestivum (bread wheat). RNAcentral describes it as "partial small subunit ribosomal RNA". The record is from RNAcentral. Lineage: Eukaryota; Viridiplantae; Streptophyta; Magnoliopsida; Poales; Poaceae.
AUGAUUCAUACUUGCUCCUUUCAUGCGGUUGAUGACAACCAUUACCAGGCUUUGCACAUGAUUCAUAUUGCUUCUUGUCAUAUAUCUUCAUAUGUUGCCUCUCUCAUGCUAGAUGAUUUGCCAUGUAUUGAGUGCAAUUAUGUCUUUAGUCUUGAUGUUGAGUUUGUCCCCAUAGCAUUCUCACAUAUAUUUGGAGAUUUUGACAUAUUUCUUGUGAAGCAUGCUUGCCUUCCCUCUUUGCACCAUAUUCCUAGUGCCAUGAAUAUAGCCAUUGUUGCAUCAUAUUAUUCAUGCACUUGUGCUUCUAAUGGUUGCGUGCAAAAGAUGAGAACCAUCAUGAUGGAUGAUGUGUUUAUCUACCAUGUGCAUACGUUCUUUGCUUUGUUUUGUGCAUGUGUAGGAUACUUGGACUUCGUGUCGACUUCCAUUUCACAUGAGUUAACCAUUCAAGCUCUUGAGAGUGAACCACCUUCUACCACGAAGAUUAUACAUCGCACUUGCUUGUGUUUUGGCAUUGUGAAGGACGCACAAGGACAUGCUUUCCAGGUGAUAGCAUUCUCUUUUGAGAACCUCCAAACCAUGAGCUUGGAUAUUAUGGAUCAUACUACUUGUGUUGCUUGCUUCAUUAAACUUUUUGGUCAUUUUGGACCACUUGAUUGCGCACAUGUUAGAGAUCUUGCUUGGAUUUGUCGUUUCCACAUUGACAUGCCUCAUGACAUAUAUACCUUGUGUGUUGCAUCCAAUUCUUGGACUACUUACUUCUAUCAUAUGCUUGGUUGCAACAAUGUCAUUUCUUCACAUACGACAUGUCCCAUUGCUUGCCACAUGAUUAACUUGAUUGCCUCACACAUGUUGAACAAUUCCAUUGUGUUGAGUGCCACACUAUAUUCGCUGCACCCUAUGCACGUUAUGCUUGGCUUGGCUUGCACUUGA